Molecule: long non-coding RNA, 588 nt
Filed under: Cricetulus griseus (Chinese hamster)
Lineage: Eukaryota; Metazoa; Chordata; Mammalia; Rodentia; Cricetidae
Description: lncRNA (ENSCGRG00000025978.1)
Source: RNAcentral
AGCCGCUCUAAGUCCUCCCGAUCCGCACAAGUCCCGCCCCCAGACCCUCCAAUCCGCGCUUGGCCACACCCUCCUCCUCUCCGGCCCGCGUCGUCUUCCGGGUUUCUGUUCGCCGCUCGGGCUUCCUGGUGUUCCCCGGGCGCCUUCAGUCCUCCUGCCUUGCCCUUCAGCACCGUGAUCACGUGGAACGCUGGUGGGCCGACCCGAGCUUUGCCUGAUGAGUGCCAGAACUAACAGUUGGGACUCAUGCAAAACAAUAUUCCUGGCACUAUGUGAAUCAAGAUGAGAACAAUGCCAGAGGAAGACACAUCACCCUGCAGUGCAGCAACUAACUGGCCCCAGAAUCCUUCCUGUUCAACAGCUGAGCAAAGCCACCAGAUGUUUUACAGUCUAUGCAUUUGGAUUUGAUGAAAUGAGGUGACUCUUCGUUGAACAUUCUGCAGCCCAAGCUCAUCUGCAACUCAUUAUGGAGCACCAAGUCAGCCAAAAAAUAUGUAGCAUUCUCCUGCUUCAGCUUCCAAAGUCCUACAAUUAAAGGUGUGAGCCACCAUGACCCCUACUAAUAGACUAUUUUUAUUUGUCUCCAAC